Non-coding RNA from Prunus mume (Japanese apricot), 286 nucleotides. The record is from RefSeq and is a predicted model, not a curated record. NCBI's taxonomy places the organism in Eukaryota, Viridiplantae, Streptophyta, Magnoliopsida, Rosales, Rosaceae.
GUUGAAGAAGAUGAUGAUGAAGAUGAACAAAAAGAUGAGAAGAAGCAGACAACUCUUUCUACCCAUGAAACGAAGCUUCAGAAACUUCGUUCUGAAAUAGACCAGAUGGAAAAAGCAAAUUUGGAGCCAAAAAAUUGGACCAUGCGAGGAGAGGUAACUGCAGAGAGAAGGCCAAAGAACAGUGCGCUAGAAGUUGAUCUAGAUUUUGAACACAAUGUUAGACCUCCCCCUGUAAUCACAGAGGAGGUUACAGCAUCGAUUGAGGAUAUCAUCCAGAAAAGAAUCG